RNAcentral lists this ribosomal RNA (402 nucleotides) under Cetraria odontella. Its description in RNAcentral is "SSU rRNA". It matches the Rfam family "Bacterial small subunit ribosomal RNA", at positions 306 to 715 of the family's 1533-position model. Lineage: Eukaryota; Fungi; Ascomycota; Lecanoromycetes; Lecanorales; Parmeliaceae. The record is from RNAcentral.
GACCACAGUGGGCCUGAAUAAAGCCCAUGACGAUUGUCACAGCAGUGAGGAAUAUUGGUCAAUAGCCUAACGGCUGAACCAGCAACUUGGAGGAAUGUAUAGCAAUAGCUACUUGCAUCAUUCUAAAUAUGAUGCAAGAUCGACUAUGUCGAAUAAAAUUCUAGGUAGAAUUAUGAUAAUGACAUUGUCUGCCUAUGUGUCUUGACCAAAUUACGUGCCAGCAGUCGCGGUAAUACGUAGAAGACUAGUGUUAUUCAUGUUUAAUCGGUUUAAAGGGUACCUAGACGGUAAAUCAAGCCUAAAAGGAAAUAAAUGAAGGGACUAAUUUACUAGAGUUACUUAUGAGGGGGUAUUAAAGUCUGCUGGUGUAGAGAUGAAAUUCUGCAUACCUCUUUUCAAUAG